GGAGGAGUACCCAAGAGGCUGAAGGGGCUGGCUUGGAAAGCUAGUAGGUCGUUAGAUGCAGGGGUUCGAAUCCCCUCUCCUCCGCCA
RNAcentral lists this transfer RNA (87 nucleotides) under Acholeplasmataceae bacterium. RNAcentral describes it as "tRNA-Ser". It matches the Rfam family "tRNA". From Rfam's summary of the family: Transfer RNA (tRNA) molecules are approximately 80 nucleotides in length. Their secondary structure includes four short double-helical elements and three loops (D, anti-codon, and T loops). Further hydrogen bonds mediate the characteristic L-shaped molecular structure. tRNAs have two regions of fundamental functional importance: the anti-codon, which is responsible for specific mRNA codon recognition, and the 3' end, to which the tRNAs corresponding amino acid is attached (by aminoacyl-tRNA synthetases). tRNAs cope with the degeneracy of the genetic code in two manners: having more than one tRNA (with a specific anti-codon) for a particular amino acid; and 'wobble' base-pairing, i.e. permitting non-standard base-pairing at the 3rd anti-codon position. The record is from RNAcentral. Lineage: Bacteria; Bacillati; Mycoplasmatota; Mollicutes; Acholeplasmatales; Acholeplasmataceae.